Molecule: ribosomal RNA, 253 nt
Filed under: uncultured bacterium
Lineage: Bacteria
Description: partial 16S ribosomal RNA
Rfam family: Bacterial small subunit ribosomal RNA
Source: RNAcentral
UACGGGGGGGGCAAGCGUUGUUCGGAAUUACUGGGCGUAAAGGGCGCGUAGGCGGCCUGCUAAGUCACACGUGAAAUCCCUCGGCUCAACCCGGGAACUGCGUCCGAUACUGGAAGGCUUGAAUCCGGGAGAGGGAUGCGGAAUUCCAGGUGUAGCGGUGAAAUGCGUAGAUAUCUGGAGGAACACCGGUGGCGAAGGCGGCAUCCUGGACCGGCAUUGACGCUGAGGCGCGAAAGCCAGGGGAGCAAACGGG